This 74-nucleotide transfer RNA is filed under the name bacterium. RNAcentral's name for it is "tRNA-Met". It matches the Rfam family "tRNA". From Rfam's summary of the family: Transfer RNA (tRNA) molecules are approximately 80 nucleotides in length. The record is from RNAcentral.
GUCGACGUAGCUCAGGUAGUUAGAGCAUAGCACUCAUAAAGCUAAGGUCGAAGGUGCAAGUCCUUCCGUCGACA